Molecule: ribosomal RNA, 497 nt
Filed under: uncultured bacterium
Lineage: Bacteria
Description: partial 16S ribosomal RNA
Rfam family: Bacterial small subunit ribosomal RNA
Source: RNAcentral
GAUGAACGCUGGCGGCGUGCCUAAUACAUGCAAGUCGAGCGAACAGAUGAGGAGCUUGCUCCUCUGACGUUAGCGGCGGACGGGUGAGUAACACGUGGAUAACCUACCUAUAAGACUGGGAUAACUUCGGGAAACCGGAGCUAAUACCGGAUAAUAUAUUUAACCGCAUGGUUCAAUAGUGAAAGACGGUUUUGCUGUCACUUAUAGAUGGAUCCGCGCCGCAUUAGCUAGUUGUUAAGGUAACGGCUUACCAAGUCAACGAUGCGUAGCCUACCUGAGAGGGUGAUCGGCCACACUGGAAAUGAGAAAAGGACAAGACGACUACGGGAGGCAGCAGUAGGGAAUCUUCCGCAAUGGGCGAAAGCCUGACGGAGCAACGCAGCGUGAGUGAUGAAGGUCUUCGGAUCGUAAAACUCUGUUAUUAGGGAAGAACAAAUGUGUAAGUAAAUAUGCACGUCUUGACGGUACCUAAUCAGAAAGCCACGGCUAACUACGUG